GUGAUAUACAGUUACUUGGAUAACUGCGGUAAUUCUGGAGCUAAUACAUGCACAAAACCCCCGACUUCGAAGGGGUGCUUUUUUUAAUCAAAACCAAACGGCUUCGGCUGUCUCUUGGUGACUCUGAAUAACUUUGGGCUGAUCGCAUUGCCCUGGCCCGGCGACAUUUCCUUCCAAGGUGUGCCCUAUCAACUGUCGACUGGGGGAUAAACGCCCACAGUGGUUUUGACGGGUAACGGGGAAUCAGGGUUCGAUUCCGGAAAGGGAGCCUUAAAAACGGCUACCACAUCCAAGGAAGGGAGCAGGCACGCAAAUUACCCAAUGAACGAAGGUCGAGGUAGUGACCAAAAAUAACAAUACCGGACUCUUUCGAGGCCCUGUAAUUGGAAUGAGUACACUUUAAAACCGUUCCCGAGGAUCUAUUGGAGGGCAAGUCUGGUA
RNAcentral lists this ribosomal RNA (441 nucleotides) under uncultured marine eukaryote. Its description in RNAcentral is "bacterial SSU rRNA". It matches the Rfam family "Eukaryotic small subunit ribosomal RNA", at positions 123 to 566 of the family's 1831-position model. The record is from RNAcentral.